This 710-nucleotide ribosomal RNA is filed under the name Caulobacter profundus. Its description in RNAcentral is "bacterial SSU rRNA". It matches the Rfam family "Bacterial small subunit ribosomal RNA", at positions 56 to 813 of the family's 1533-position model. Lineage: Bacteria; Pseudomonadati; Pseudomonadota; Alphaproteobacteria; Caulobacterales; Caulobacteraceae. The record is from RNAcentral.
UGCAGUCAAACGGAUCCUUCGGGAUUAGUGGCGGACGGGUGAGUAACACGUGGGAACGUGCCUUUUGGUUCGGAACAACUCAGGGAAACUUGAGCUAAUACCGAAUGUGCCCUUCGGGGGAAAGAUUUAUCGCCAUUAGAGCGGCCCGCGUCUGAUUAGCUAGUUGGUGAGGUAAAGGCUCACCAAGGCUACGAUCAGUAGCUGGUCUGAGAGGAUGAUCAGCCACAUUGGGACUGAGACACGGCCCAAACUCCUACGGGAGGCAGCAGUGGGGAAUCUUGCGCAAUGGGCGAAAGCCUGACGCAGCCAUGCCGCGUGAAUGAUGAAGGUCUUAGGAUUGUAAAAUUCUUUCACCGGGGACGAUAAUGACGGUACCCGGAGAAGAAGCCCCGGCUAACUUCGUGCCAGCACCCGCGGUAAUCCGAAGGGGGCUAGCGUUGCUCGGAAUUUCUGGGCGUAAAGGGAGCGUAGGCGGAUAGUUUAGUCAGAGGUGAAAGCCCAGGGCUCAACCUUGGAAUUGCCUUUGAUACUGGCUAUCUUGAGUAUGGGAGAGGUUAGCGGAACUCCGAGUGUAGAGGUGAAAUUCGUAGAUCUUCGGAAGAACACCAGUGCCGAAGGCGGCUAACUGGCCCAUUACUGACGCUGAGGCUCGAAAGCGUGGGGAGCAAACAGGAUUAGAUACCCUGGUAGUCCACGCCGUAAUCGAUGAG